AAUGUCAAGACCAUAUGCUGCAGCUGAGUAAGUAUCUUGCAGAGGGAGCCACAGCUGGUCUAUAUUUAAGAGAGAGACAGCCAGGCACAUUAUCAGCUAGUUAAUUUACUGAAAAUUCCAGGUGAUAUCCAUGACUUGCACCUCUUCCAAAGGACAGACUUUCCUGGUCUGGUGCCCUCCAGAGAUUUUGGAUGCGUCCCAAAGACACAUCCAGCAUGCUCACCAUCGUAAAAGAAAGGCUCUUGCUUUGGAAUGUACUUCCCGAUUAAUUGUGACUGUAGGGGCUUUCCUUAAUAGGCUCACAGAACAUGUUAUGGAAGAAGCUAUGCAGACUGAGAGACCUGUUGCUCAGGCAGGUGAAGUGGCUGCACAAUUUUUAGUGCUAAGGGGGAAAAAGACAGCAAGGGCAGGCGGGUGUGCUAACAAGAUGGAAUUUUUAAAAUAA
Molecule: long non-coding RNA, 445 nt
Filed under: Pogona vitticeps (central bearded dragon)
Lineage: Eukaryota; Metazoa; Chordata; Lepidosauria; Squamata; Agamidae
Description: lncRNA (ENSPVIG00000006396.1)
Source: RNAcentral